UACGAAGGGGGCUAGCGUUGCUCGGAAUCACUGGGCGUAAAGGGUGCGUAGGCGGGUCUUUAAGUCAGAGGUGAAAUCCUGGAGCUCAACUCCAGAACUGCCUUUGAUACUGAGGAUCUUGAGUUCGGGAGAGGUGAGUGGAACUGCGAGUGUAGAGGUGAAAUUCGUAGAUAUUCGCAAGAACACCAGUGGCGAAGGCGGCUCACUGGCUCGUAACUGACGCUCAGGCGCGACAGCGUGGGGAUCAAACAGG
RNAcentral lists this ribosomal RNA (253 nucleotides) under uncultured bacterium. RNAcentral's name for it is "partial 16S ribosomal RNA". It matches the Rfam family "Bacterial small subunit ribosomal RNA", at positions 524 to 776 of the family's 1533-position model. The record is from RNAcentral.